GACGAACGCUGGCGGCGUGCUUAACACAUGCAAGUCGAACGGAAAGGCCCUGCUUUUGUGGGGUGCUCGAGUGGCGAAAGGGUGAGUAACACGUGGGUAACCUGCCCUUGACUUUGGGAUAACUUCAGGAAACUGGGGCUAAUACCGGAUAGGAGCUCCUGCUGCAUGGUGGGGGUUGGAAAGUUUCGGCGGUUGGGGAUGGACUCGCGGCUUAUCAGCUUGUUGGUGGGGUAGUGGCUUACCAAGGCUUUGACGGGUAGCCGGCCUGAGAGGGUGACCGGCCACAUUGGGACUGAGAUACGGCCCAGACUGCUACGGGAGGCAGCAGUGAGGAAUAUAGCACAAUGGGCGGAAGCCUGAUGCAGCAACGCCGCGUGCGGGAAGACGGCCUUCGGGUUGUAAACCGCUUUCGCCUGUGACGAAGCGUGAGUGACGGUAAUGGGUAAAGAAGCACCGGCUAACUACGUG
Molecule: ribosomal RNA, 468 nt
Filed under: uncultured bacterium
Lineage: Bacteria
Description: partial 16S ribosomal RNA
Rfam family: Bacterial small subunit ribosomal RNA
Source: RNAcentral